CACGGUGGUGUUCAGUCAAAGGCUGGACUCAGAGGUCUUUUCCAGCCUAAUGGAUUCUGUGAUUUUGUGAAGGGGAUGUAUAUCUAAUCCUAAAGUGGCAUAAGGAAUAGCAAGAUGCCUGGAUGUCAGUCCCAACUGUGGAUUGUUAUUAUCAGUCCCAUUAAUACAGCCUGACUGAUAGGGUAGUUUUAAAAGUAGAACCGUGUUAGUAAAAAACACUAGGAAAACACCACUCUUCACAUUUCUUCUAACAUUUAAUGCUGCACAGUGCUUAGGGUUUUCUCUUAAUGCAUGCAUGGCAUCAGAAAUUGUGUUCCAGUGAUGUACCCUGUUCCAAGUAUUUUGGGAUGACUAAAUCACUCGGCUGGAAUUUAUCAGCUGAAUAAGAAUAGUUAAUCAUAACCUACAGGUUUUCAUAUAGAUAAAAUACUCUAUAAUUUUUUUUCCACUUAACCAUUUGUAAUUUUCUACAUUUCAUGGAGCCGCACAAGCAGUAUGUAUGCAACUUGAGUAUAUAGCUAGUAUCCUAUGUAUUGACAAAUAGGCUGGGACAAAUAGGCUUCUGUGCUGAAUAUUAACAUGCUCACCUCACACUUUUCCUCCCUUCAAAUGACAUGAGGAGUCCCUCCUGGCUGGCAGUGGUCAGUUGCAUGGGGAACUGUCAGGCUUAGUUGCUUGUAAAACAGGCCAAUCUUCAUUGUUAGAGUUUCUCUCUUCCAGCUUUUUACAUCAGGAUUUUCUACUUUGGUGUUUUCCUCAUUGGUUCCAGUGACACAGUUUUGCUCACAUGGCUGAACAAACUCAGUCUUAAUUUUCUGGAGUGUAAGUGAUUUUUCCAGGACGUAUUUGGAAAGAUGAUGCAAGAAAGUGUUUUGGGAAAGAAGGGUUUUGGUCUGCCUUUUUAAAUUGCAAAUUUAAAUGUGUUUGUUUACAAGCCCUACAAAUCAUUACAGGGGCAUUGAAUUGAUUAUGCUAAACUCACCAUUAACCCAGCUGAUCAUACAACACCCAGCUUGGGAGAAAUUCUGCAUUGGCACAGCCUCUUGUUAAUUAAUGGCUCCAGGUGGUCAGGGAAUAAUAGGAUGUACAUGACUUUGUUACUAACCCUAGAUAUCUAAAUGUGGGGUUUUGUGCUGAUAGAUUACUUAUUGACUGCUUAUUGAAUGUGAUCAUGUCAUAGAAGUCAAAGGUUUAAUAAAAAAGGCACCUACUUUUUCAUAAAAAAUAUUUGUUAGAGCACAUGUAAGUGAUGGUGGCUUGAAAUGUCACUCCAGGCAAUUUAAACCAAAUUGCAGAAAGGAACUAAGUUUUACCCCAAAAUAGCCUGUGAUCUAAUAGAAAGUAAUUCUAAGCUACAGCUCAUCCUGCAUUUUUCAUCACCAGCACCCUCCAUCUGUGCAUUACUUGUGUUGUUAUGAAUUUGGCAACACUUCAGCAGCAAGCUACUGUUUAUGAGAUCCCAGCAGCUAAAAGAAGCUAGUCAUUGGGAUUACUCAUUACUUGCCUUGUGAACUGCUCAAGGGAAUUUCUUCAAGAACUAUGUCAAAAUCAGCUUUAGAAACCAUUAAUUUGAGAGCUUUCAUUGACACAUAACAAGUGCUCCAAGAUUAUUGCUGGUCAAGUUGGUGGGCUUGGAAGGAAGAUUCUUUUUGUUGGUACUGAGAGAAAAUUUUCUCAUUUUGUACAAGGAAACGAGGAUAAAAAAGGCUCUUUCCCUCUGCAAGAAGAAAUCUGACACAGUGGGAACUCAAUCCCCCAGACAACAUGAAUGCUUGCAGAAGGAUACAUUCUCUUCGUGCUCACAGACAGAAAACUAAUGGAAACAAAAUUGAGAACUGGCACAGCACCUCUGGGUUCAAGUACCAGCAUGGAGAUGAUCUUGUUACGGUCCACACCCUUUACACAGUGAUCAUCAUGAUCCUUCUAGUGGCACUUUGGGGAGCCUGGUCAAGAAAGGAUUCAUCCUUAUAGCAGCAAUAUAGCAACUUUCUUUGUCAAAUAUUUAAAGAAGUAUUUGUGUCAAUUAUCCAUACUCAAGAGGAAGAAAAAAAAAUCAGCCUAUUUCAGUUUAUUUGAAACUGCUUAAAUGGUUGCUACUUGUGGAAGUGAAUCUAUGAAGCAAUUCAAUGGGCCAUGCACAGAACAUAAUUUUGUGAAGAACAUAGACCUGUUUGACCUGUACACAUUUAUAUUACACUCAGCAUGUAUAUGAAAGUUUAAGCACCAUAUUCUAGAAAGAAGAAUUCAACUUCUGUUUUAGUGUUUUGUAUGUCCACCCCAGCCUUCCAUUUGUGCACUUGUCGAGUCUCUACCUCUGCUAAGUUUGCCUGUCCCAAUCCAUGAUAAAACAUACAAUAUAAGGAGGGAAAUAAUCUGCCAUGUCACAACAACAUAGGAAAAAAUAAUCAAUAAACCCAGCUAUUCUGCCAGCAAAGGAAGAUCACUGAAAGAGUUGAAUUCUCAUCUCCAUUGCUGAAGAGAGUUUGUAUGAGACUUGCAUCCAUUAUUUUUAACUUAUGGUAAUGAUUUUAUAAGCUCAGGAAUAAAACUAUGAAAUGAGCUGUA
This is a long non-coding RNA of Corvus hawaiiensis (hawaiian crow), 2565 nucleotides long. RefSeq lists it as uncharacterized. Lineage: Eukaryota; Metazoa; Chordata; Aves; Passeriformes; Corvidae. The record is from RefSeq and is a predicted model, not a curated record. The transcript has 2 exons.